CAGUAGCCACGGGAAUACGAAGGGUGCAAGCGUUAAUCGGAAUUACUGGGCGUAAAGCGUGCGUAGGCGGUUCGUUAAGUCUGUUGUGAAAGCCCCGGGCUCAACCUGGGAAUGGCAAUGGAUACUGGCGAGCUAGAGUGUGUCAGAGGAUGGUGGAAUUCCCGGUGUAGCGGUGAAAUGCGUAGAGAUCGGGAGGAACAUCAGUGGCGAAGGCGGCCAUCUGGGACAACACUGACGCUGAGGCACGAAAGCGUGGGGAGCAAACAGGAUUAGAUACCCCGGUAGUCCCUGUCUCUUAUAC
Molecule: ribosomal RNA, 301 nt
Filed under: uncultured bacterium
Lineage: Bacteria
Description: partial 16S ribosomal RNA
Rfam family: Bacterial small subunit ribosomal RNA
Source: RNAcentral